Molecule: ribosomal RNA, 483 nt
Filed under: uncultured bacterium
Lineage: Bacteria
Description: partial 16S ribosomal RNA
Rfam family: Bacterial small subunit ribosomal RNA
Source: RNAcentral
GACGAACGCUGGCGGCGCGCUUAACACAUGCAAGUCGAACGCUGAAGCUCAGCUUUUGUUGGGUGGAUGAGUGGCGAACGGGUGAGUAACACGUGAGUAACCUGCCCCCUUCUUUGGGAUAACGCCCGGAAACGGGUGCUAAUACUGGAUAUUCACUGGUCUUCGCAUGGGGGUUGGUGGAAAGGGUUUUUCUGGUGGGGGAUGGGCUCGCGGCCUAUCAGCUUGUUGGUGGGGUGAUGGCCUACCAAGGCUUUGACGGGUAGCCGGCCUGAGAGGGUGACCGGGCACAUUGGGACUGAGAUACGGCCCAGACUCCUACGGGAGGCAGCAGUGGGGAAUAUUGCACAAUGGGCGCAAGCCUGAUGCAGCGACGCCGCGUGAGGGAUGGAGGCCUUCGGGUUGUGAACCUCUUUCGCUCAUGGUCAAGCCGCAACAAUGGUUGUGGUGAGGGUAGUGGGUAAAGAAGCGCCGGCUAACUACGUG